Molecule: unclassified non-coding RNA, 306 nt
Filed under: Hevea brasiliensis (rubber tree)
Lineage: Eukaryota; Viridiplantae; Streptophyta; Magnoliopsida; Malpighiales; Euphorbiaceae
Source: RNAcentral
GAGAAUUGCUUUGGUGGAUAAGCAAACACGCUCAGAAAAUGAAAUUGUUGAAUCAAAUUUGAAGGAGCAAGUACAUGUUACUAAUAAAGAAAGCUUAAAAACAAAUUAUUUAAAAGCAGGAAAAGCAAAAGCUGGAGCCGAGAAUAAGGAUGCAAUUGACUGGGAUAGUUUAAGGAAGCAGGUGCAGGCAAAUGGUAGCAGAAAAGAAAGAAGCCAAGAUACAAUGGACUCCUUGGACUAUGAAGCAAUGAGAUGCGCUAGUGUCAAUGAGAUUUCUGGUGCUAUUAAAGAAAGAGGGAUGAACAA